This 253-nucleotide ribosomal RNA is filed under the name uncultured bacterium. RNAcentral describes it as "partial 16S ribosomal RNA". It matches the Rfam family "Bacterial small subunit ribosomal RNA", at positions 524 to 776 of the family's 1533-position model. The record is from RNAcentral.
GACGAAGGUGGCUAGCGUUGCUCGGAUUUACUGGGCAUAAAGCGCGCGUAGGUGGUUGUGUAAGCGGGGGAUGAAAGCCCACGGCUCACCCGUGGAACUGUCUCCCGGACUGCAUAGCUUGAGGAAGGAAGGGGAGAAUGGAAUUCCCGGUGUAGCGGUGAAAUGCGUAGAUAUCGGGAGGAACGCCGGUGGCGAAAGCGAUUCUCUGGUCCUUUCCUGACACUGAUGCGCGAAAGCUAGGGGAGCAAACAGG